RNAcentral lists this ribosomal RNA (513 nucleotides) under uncultured bacterium. RNAcentral describes it as "bacterial SSU rRNA". It matches the Rfam family "Bacterial small subunit ribosomal RNA", at positions 355 to 883 of the family's 1533-position model. The record is from RNAcentral.
UGGGGAAUCUUGGACAAUGGGGGCAACCCUGAUCCAGCCAUGCCGCGUGAGUGAUGAAGGCCUUAGGGUCGUAAAGCUCUUUCGCCUGUGAAGAUAAUGACGGUAGCAGGUAAAGAAACCCCGGCUAACUCCGUGCCAGCAGCCGCGGUAAUACGGAGGGGGUUAGCGUUGUUCGGAAUUACUGGGCGUAAAGCGCACGUAGGCGGACCAGAAAGUUGGGGGUGAAAUCCCGGGGGCUCAACCCCGGAACUGCCUCCAAAACUAUUGGUCUAGAGUUCGAGAGAGGUGAGUGGAAUUCCAAGUGUAGAGGUGAAAUUCGUAGAUAUUUGGAGGAACACCAGUGGCGAAGGCGGCUCACUGGCUCGAUACUGACGCUGAGGUGCGAAAAGUGUGGGGAGCAAACAGGAUUAGAUACCCUGGUAGUCCACACCGUAAAACGAUGAAUGCCAGUCGUCGGGUAGCAUGCUAUUCGGUGACACACCUAACGGAUUAAGCAUUCCGCCUGGGGAGUAC